This is a long non-coding RNA of Lates calcarifer (barramundi perch), 319 nucleotides long. RefSeq lists it as uncharacterized. Lineage: Eukaryota; Metazoa; Chordata; Actinopteri; Centropomidae. The record is from RefSeq and is a predicted model, not a curated record. The transcript is spliced from 3 exons.
UCGUGUGUUUUCAUUGGCUGCGUCGUGUGUCGUCAUCGGUCAUGACCUUGUGGGCGGAGCCCUGAGAGGCAGAGAGGCGGAGAAACGAAGCCGGAAAACAGAUUUAAACCAACAUGAGAGCUGUUGCCUCUGUUUGUCAGUACUGUGAGAAAACUGGAUUACUGAAGAAGCCUGCAUACUAAAGCAAGCUUUGGAGCUGCUUUUUGUCGAACGAGUGAAGAUGGACGCUGAACAUGGCACGAAGGCGUCCCUGACAUGAGUUGUGGGCAUCUUACGGAGGCAAGGUGUCACCACUUCAUCCACGACAUCAUCUACGAUC